CAGAAAAUAGUAUAGUAUUAGUAUAUAAAUUUUGGGGAUUUAAGGGGAGGAAUCUUUUCUGA
Molecule: transfer RNA, 62 nt
Filed under: Carios vespertilionis
Lineage: Eukaryota; Metazoa; Arthropoda; Arachnida; Ixodida; Argasidae
Description: tRNA-Pro
Source: RNAcentral